RNAcentral lists this long non-coding RNA (448 nucleotides) under Malus domestica (apple). RNAcentral's name for it is "long non-coding RNA (MDOM_LNC004069)". Lineage: Eukaryota; Viridiplantae; Streptophyta; Magnoliopsida; Rosales; Rosaceae. The record is from RNAcentral.
UAUUUGUAUACCCUGCACUGAAGCUUUGUAGGUGAAGCUUUGCAAGUGAAGCUUAAAUGAAGCUUUCGAAGCUGGAGCUUUUGUAAAUGAAGCUUUUGAAUCUGAGCUCUGUAAAAUGAAGCUUUUGAAGCAGCUAGAGCUCUGUAAAUGAAGCUUUCGAAGCUGGAGCUUUUGUAAAUGAAGCUUUUGAAUCUAGAGCUCUGUAAAUGAAGUCUUUGAAGCUAGAGCUCUUGUAAAUGAAGCUUUGAAGCUAGAGCUCUGUAAAUGAAGCUUUCGAAGCUGGAGCUUUUUUAAAUGAAGCUUUUGAAUCUAGAGCUCUGUAAAUGAAGUCUUUGAAGCUAGAGCUCUUGUAAAUGAAGCUUUUGAAGCUAGAGCUCUUGUAAAUGAAGCUUUUGAAGCUAGAGCUCUGUAAAUGAAGCUUUUGAAGCUGAUUGACAUGAGUGAUGCU